RNAcentral lists this ribosomal RNA (853 nucleotides) under Hyalopeziza sp. TNS-F17879. Its description in RNAcentral is "eukaryotic LSU rRNA". It matches the Rfam family "Eukaryotic large subunit ribosomal RNA", at positions 104 to 975 of the family's 3401-position model. The record is from RNAcentral. Lineage: Eukaryota; Fungi; Ascomycota; Leotiomycetes; Helotiales; Hyaloscyphaceae.
CAGCUCAAAUUUGAAAUCUGGCUCUUUUAGAGUCCGAAUUGUAAUUUGUAGAAGAUGCUUUGGGUGUGGCUCCGGUCUAAGUUCCUUGGAACAGGACGUCAUAGAGGGUGAGAAUCCCGUAUGUGACUGGGUGCCUUCGCCCGUGUAAAGCUCUUUCGACGAGUCGAGUUGUUUGGGAAUGCAGCUCAAAAUGGGUGGUAAAUUUCAUCUAAAGCUAAAUAUUGGCCAGAGACCGAUAGCGCACAAGUAGAGUGAUCGAAAGAUGAAAAGCACUUUGGAAAGAGAGUUAAACAGUACGUGAAAUUGUUGAAAGGGAAGCGCUUGCAACCAGACUUGCAUGUGGUUGAUCAUCCGAGGUUUUCCUCGUUGCACUUGAUCACAUUCAGGCCAGCAUCGGUUUGGGUGGUUGGAUAAAGGCCUUGGGAAUGUAGCUUCCUUCGGGGAGUGUUAUAGCCCUCGGUGCAAUGCAGCCUAUCCGGACCGAGGACCGCGCUUCGGCUAGGAUGCUGGCGUAAUGGUUGUAAGCGACCCGUCUUGAAACACGGACCAAGGAGUCUAACAUCUAUGCGAGUGUUUGGGUGUCAAACCCAUACGCGUAAUGAAAGUGAACGGAGGUGAGAACCCUUAAGGGUGCAUCAUCGACCGAUCCUGAUGUCUUCGGAUGGAUUUGAGUAAGAGCAUAGCUGUUGGGACCCGAAAGAUGGUGAACUAUGCCUGAAUAGGGUGAAGCCAGAGGAAACUCUGGUGGAGGCUCGCAGCGGUUCUGACGUGCAAAUCGAUCGUCAAAUUUGGGUAUAGGGGCGAAAGACUAAUCGAACCAUUGUAUCACAACACACCGCAGGAACGGUGCUAG